AAAAUCCGUCGACUUUAUAAGUCGUGAGGGUUC
Molecule: transfer RNA, 33 nt
Filed under: Poa pratensis (Kentucky bluegrass)
Lineage: Eukaryota; Viridiplantae; Streptophyta; Magnoliopsida; Poales; Poaceae
Also listed under: 4 other names
Description: partial tRNA-Leu
Source: RNAcentral